UCGCCUAAAAAAUCAGCCUUUCGCAUGCUUAAUUAUGCCUUUACCUAAUUUGCAUAUUGCUGACAUGCAAAUUAGGCAAAGGCAUUAAUUAAGCAUGCAAAAGGCUGAUUUUUUAGGAA
This is a non-coding RNA of Paramuricea clavata, 119 nucleotides long. NCBI's taxonomy places the organism in Eukaryota, Metazoa, Cnidaria, Anthozoa, Malacalcyonacea, Plexauridae. The record is from the annotation of a GenBank genome assembly.